RNAcentral lists this ribosomal RNA (433 nucleotides) under uncultured bacterium. RNAcentral's name for it is "partial 16S ribosomal RNA". It matches the Rfam family "Bacterial small subunit ribosomal RNA", at positions 29 to 507 of the family's 1533-position model. The record is from RNAcentral.
AACGAACGCUGGCGGCAUGCCUAACACAUGCAAGUCGAACGAGACCUUCGGGUCUAGUGGCGCACGGGUGCGUAACGCGUGGGAACCUGCCCUUAGGUUCGGAAUAACUCCCCGAAAGGGGUGCUAAUACCGGAUAAUGUCUUCGGACCAAAGAUUUAUCGCCUUUGGAUGGGCCCGCGUUGGAUUAGCUAGUUGGUAGGGUAAAAGCCUACCAAGGCGACGAUACAUAGCUGGUCUGAGAGGAUGAUCAGCCACACUGGGGCUGAGACACGGCCCAGACUCCUACGGGAGGCAGCAGUGGGGAAUAUUGGACAAUGGGCGAAAGCCUGAUCCAGCAAGGCCGCGUGAGUGAUGAAGGCCUUAGGGUUGUAAAGCUCUUUUACCCGGGAUGAUAAUGACAGUACCGGGAGAAUAAGCUCCGGCUAACUCCGUG